ACACACACACACACACACACACACACACACACACACACACACACACACAAUAGAAUAGCAGGAUGGAAAAUCCAGCCCUGUGGCCUUCAAGGUGUUGCCAUGGUGAUGGGUAAAGCCCAUGACUAGCAAAAUGCCAGCAACUGCAGGAUGGUGAGGGAAAAAAAGUGGUUUAUUUCCGGCCAGAUACACCUAGUUCUUGAGAGAGGUCAGAGGAGAAGCGUCCGAAUGUUCUGAGCUGCCAGGAAGGCUACUCUAACUCAAAUAACCACUCUGGUGAACACAAACAUGGUAUAAAUAGUCAGACGCAGGAGAGCGGCAAAUCAGAGGGCCUCGCUUAUGGCUUCAAUUAUAGAAGUGGGCUAAUUAGAUCGCCUUUAUCUAGGGACUGAUGUAUCCUCGUUAAAUCCAAAUUCACCGCGGACGUUAUGGAGGAGAGCAAAUACUGCAUCCACUUCAUGUGUGGGUGGGUGUUAUUCCAGAUCCAAGUCUCUCAAUGUCUGGUAUCAACAUCUCUUUCUCUUUCUCUCUAUUUAUUUCAUUAUCUUUCUCACAAAUUCUGUGUCCCUCUCCAUUGCUGUGUAUAUCUCUCUCACUCACUCUCUCUCUCUCUCUCUCUCUCUCUCUCUCUCUCUCUCUCUCUCUCUCUCUCUCUCUCUCUCCUUAGUGAUAAAUGAAAUCAGGAUUUUUAGUUUAGCCAUUUUUUCACGUUUCUUCCUUCUUCUUUCUUCCAAAAGGAGGUGACUCAUUCCUCGCAGAGUGGGGGCAUAGUCAAACACACAUUUGCAGGUGGGCAGGUGUGUGCGUGUGUGUGUGUGUGUCUGUGUGUGUGUGUGUCAAACCAGGAAACACAAAUAAGAUAAAACUAAUUCAUUCAUUGAAUCACAUAACUAAUUAAUCACAUUGUUAUUGUUAUUAUUGCUGAAACUCCAGAAACUUGCUCGAAUUCUCACUUAAGGGUGCUUAAGCAGGAGAGUAUGGCACUGAUGAAGCAAGAAGGGCACAUUCUGGAGAGCAAGAGGGUAAACUUAUGAGAAGUUAAGGUUAAGAGAGCAUUUUCAGGUAGGCUAACAGCAUAUUUAAGGAAGCAAGUGCUUUUGAGAGCUCUCUCGUAUCAGAGCGCAAGUGCACUAGAGUGGUUAUUAGAGCAAGGCUCUCUGUUUAAGACAGGGCAAGAAAAUAAAAGGCUACCGUGACGUUUUUUUAUGCUUCCUUUCGAUUCCUUUUAAAAAUCUCUUCAUUUCAGAGCAAAAGACUGAACGGAAAAAAGGAAGAAGAAAAAAGAAGCUGUACUUUUGAGCCAGGGAUGAAAAUAUAUAAAUAUAUAAAUGUAAUGCCCUGGAAAUCCUGCAGUAGUAAAUCCCAGUCCGAGCUCUCGAGUCGCUUCGCCAUCGCAUGCCUGGAAAACUUUUUUUUUUUUCAAUAACUUUUUAAAUUUAGCAGGGGGUGGAGCAUUCCAACUGCCAACAAAUCAGUUUUAUUGCUACUAAAAUGAAACAUUCUGGAGGGAGAUUUGAUUUGUGUGUAAAAUAAAGCAGUGUCACAUAUGAUCUAAUCUCUUCACUUCCUUUGGUAGUCGCUGCACAUUACAAGUAUUUGCAUUUGCACUUUUCUCACAUUGCUGGACACGCCCACAUCUAGUCAGCAACGCUGGCUGUGGCUCAUGUCACUGAAAGUCAACAGCUCUCAUUGAAAAUAAAUGAUCUCCACAGUGCUUUUGCUUUCUCUUGUAGUCUCUUGCACACACUAAUACUGACAUCUGAAAAUGCAGCUAGCAAACGCAGCAUUCUGGCCACAUGGAAUCACUGAACUUGAUUAUGAGACAAAGUUUUGUUACAGUAAUAAGCUGUAUCUGUAUCUGUAUCAUGACAAACACAGCUUCCUACGGAGAAAACACAUACCCAUUAUCUCCUCUAAGAACAAUCAGGUUUUUUUUCUUUAUUGCUUGU
Tachysurus fulvidraco (yellow catfish) is the source of this 1946-nucleotide long non-coding RNA. RefSeq lists it as uncharacterized. Lineage: Eukaryota; Metazoa; Chordata; Actinopteri; Siluriformes; Bagridae. The record is from RefSeq and is a predicted model, not a curated record. The transcript is spliced from 3 exons.